RNAcentral lists this ribosomal RNA (407 nucleotides) under uncultured beta proteobacterium. RNAcentral's name for it is "bacterial SSU rRNA". It matches the Rfam family "Bacterial small subunit ribosomal RNA", at positions 9 to 416 of the family's 1533-position model. Lineage: Bacteria; Pseudomonadati; Pseudomonadota; Betaproteobacteria. The record is from RNAcentral.
GAGUUUGAUCGUGGCUCAGAUUGAACGCUGGCGGCAUGCUUUACACAUGCAAGUCGAGCGGCAGCGCGGGGGCAACCCUGGCGGCGAGCGGCGAACGGGUGAGGAAUACAUCGGAACGUACCCGAGAGUGGGGGAUAACGCCGCGAAAGCGGCGCUAAUACCGCAUAUUCUCUUUGGAGGAAAGUGGGGGACCUGCAAGGGCCUCACGCUCACGGAGCGGCCGAUGUCGGAUUAGCUAGUUGGUGGGGUAAAGGCCUACCAAGGCGACGAUCCGUAGCUGGUCUGAGAGGAUGAUCAGCCACACUGGGACUGAGACACGGCCCAGACUCCUACGGGAGGCAGCAGUGGGGAAUUUUGGACAAUGGGGGCAACCCUGAUCCAGCCAUGCCGCGUGCGGGAAGAAGGCC